This 202-nucleotide long non-coding RNA is filed under the name Capsella rubella. RNAcentral describes it as "long non-coding RNA (CRUB_LNC005111)". Lineage: Eukaryota; Viridiplantae; Streptophyta; Magnoliopsida; Brassicales; Brassicaceae. The record is from RNAcentral.
AUAGACAAGACAUAAAGCGAAGCUUCAAAAAAAAUUGAAUGACAUAUCUUCAAAACAUGUUUCUAUAAGAUUCUUAAUUUCUUUUUAUUAUCCAAGAUAAUUUUAGAAGAAACAAAUUUAUACUUACUUCUUAUUUAUAUAAUGAGGUUGUACUAAAAAAAAAAACACGAAAAAAAAUUGAAAAUAAGAAAAAGAAACUCGC